Gopherus evgoodei (Goodes thornscrub tortoise) is the source of this 678-nucleotide long non-coding RNA. RefSeq lists it as uncharacterized. The record is from RefSeq and is a predicted model, not a curated record. Lineage: Eukaryota; Metazoa; Chordata; Testudines; Testudinidae. The transcript is spliced from 5 exons.
CCCCCGCGGACCCAGCGGGCGCGGCUUUGGGCGCGACAGGCUCCGCUCGCAGGGCGGGGCCAGGAGCGGAAGUGACGUCAUCCAUUUGGGGGGUCGCCCGCGGUAACCGGCAGAGCCGGGAUAUUGGGGUUGAGCUUCGUGGGUCAGACACUGUUGCCCCAAUUGUGGUCUGGGAGCCCAGGCUGAGCAGCUGCUGCUCCCCCAGUGGGAUCGGGGCAGGGGAGUGACCGUGAGUGAAGCUUCCUGUGCCAGCCAAGGAUAACAAGCUUGUGGAUAGAGGGGAAACAGUAGACAUGGUAUAUGGUGACUUCAGUAAUGCUUUUGAUGCUGUCUUGCAUGACCUUCUCCUAAACAAACUAGAGAAGUACAACUGGAAUGGAACUAUCAUUAGAGUCGAGAACAUCCAUCUGCGAGGAAAGAGCCUGGGGGAAUUGUGAUGUGACGUGACUGUCCUGUUUUGACACGUCCCCUUCAUGCCCUGACAGGCUGCAGUGUCACGUCCCAUCCUCCCAGGGAAGAGAGAUGGCUGCCGUGGGGCCAGCUCAGAUAGGGAUUAUCGGGCAGUUGCUGGUGGGCUCCUGUUGGCAGCAAAAAGGCUGUAAAGCCAUAGGAGGGGCUGGUGACUUUCGAGGAGGUGGCUGUGUAUUUCACCAGGGAAGAGGGGGCUCUGCUGGACCC